This 450-nucleotide ribosomal RNA is filed under the name uncultured bacterium. Its description in RNAcentral is "partial 16S ribosomal RNA". It matches the Rfam family "Bacterial small subunit ribosomal RNA", at positions 354 to 796 of the family's 1533-position model. The record is from RNAcentral.
GUGGGGAAUAUUGGACAAUGGGCGCAAGCCUGAUCCAGCCAUACCGCGUGGGUGAAGAAGGCCUUCGGGUUGUAAAGCCCUUUUGUUGGGAAAGAAAUCCUGUCGGUUAAUACCUGGCGGGGAUGACGGUACCCAAAGAAUAAGCACCGGCUAACUUCGUGCCAGCAGCCGCGGUAAUACGAAGGGUGCAAGCGUUACUCGGAAUUACUGGGCGUAAAGCGUGCGUAGGUGGUGGUUUAAGUCCGUUGUGAAAGCCCUGGGCUCAACCUGGGAAUUGCAGUGGAUACUGGAUCACUAGAGUGUGGUAGAGGGAUGCGGAAUUUCUGGUGUAGCAGUGAAAUGCGUAGAGAUCAGAAGGAACAUCCGUGGCGAAGGCGGCAUCCUGGGCCAACACUGACACUGAGGCACGAAAGCGUGGGGAGCAAACAGGAUUAGAAACCCGGAUAGUCC